UGGGAGAUAUGAUGAAGACAUUGUCAAUGCUUUGAACUACACAAGUCCUGCAGAAAGAUAUGUUAAAGAAACUGAAACAACGGUGGUUUUCUGUUCUACCGUCGUCUUUUCUCGUCGUCUAUAUUAAGUUAAGAUGGCGGUAGAUUUAUAAUUACCGACGUAGAUUAUUUUGUUAAACGUCGUUAAGUGUACUACAACCGACGUGGAUUUUAAUUUUAAAUUAUAAAUAGAGUUUUUUU
RNAcentral lists this long non-coding RNA (239 nucleotides) under Prunus persica (peach). RNAcentral's name for it is "long non-coding RNA (PPER_LNC008116)". Lineage: Eukaryota; Viridiplantae; Streptophyta; Magnoliopsida; Rosales; Rosaceae. The record is from RNAcentral.